GGGUUGUGAGGUUAAGCGACUAAGCGUACACGGUGGAUGCCCUGGCAGUCAGAGGCGAUGAAGGACGUGCUAAUCUGCGAUAAGCGCCGGUAAGGUGAUAUGAACCGUUAUAACCGGCGAUUUCCGAAUGGGGAAACCCAGUGUGAUUCGUCACACUAUCAUUAACUGAAUCCAUAGGUUAAUGAGGCGAACCGGGGGAACUGAAACAUCUAAGUACCCCGAGGAAAAGAAAUCAACCGAGAUUCCCCCAGUAGCGGCGAGCGAACGGGGAGGAGCCCAGAGCCUGAAUCAGCAUGUGUGUUAGUGGAAGCGUCUGGAAAGGCGCGCGAUACAGGGUGACAGCCCCGUACACAAAAGCGCAUGUGCUGUGAGCUCGAUGAGUAGGGCGGGACACGUGGUAUCCUGUCUGAAUAUGGGGGGACCAUCCUCCAAGGCUAAAUACUCCUGACUGACCGAUAGUGAACCAGUACCGUGAGGGAAAGGCGAAAAGAACCCCGGCGAGGGGAGUGAAAAAGAACCUGAAACCGUGUACGUACAAGCAGUGGGAGCACAGGUUUACCUGUGUGACUGCGUACCUUUUGUAUAAUGGGUCAGCGACUUAUAUUCUGUAGCAAGGUUAACCGAAUAGGGGAGCCGGAGGGAAACCGAGUCUUAAUUGGGCGUUAAGUUGCAGGGUAUAGACCCGAAACCCGGUGAUCUAGCCAUGGGCAGGUUGAAGGUUGGGUAACACUAACUGGAGGACCGAACCGACUAAUGUUGAAAAAUUAGCGGAUGACCUGUGGCUGGGGGUGAAAGGCCAAUCAAACCGGGAGAUAGCUGGUUCUCCCCGAAAGCUAUUUAGGUAGCGCCUCGUGAAUUCAUCUCCGGGGGUAGAGCACUGUUUCGGCUAGGGGGCCAUCCCGGCUUACCAACCCGAUGCAAACUGCGAAUACCGGAGAAUGUUAUCACGGGAGACACACGGCGGGUGCUAACGUCCGUCGUGAAGAGGGAAACAACCCAGACCGCCAGCUAAGGUCCCAAAGUCAUGGUUAAGUGGGAAACGAUGUGGGAAGGCCCAGACAGCCAGGAUGUUGGCUUAGAAGCAGCCAUCAUUUAAAGAAAGCGUAAUAGCUCACUGGUCGAGUCGGCCUGCGCGGAAGAUGUAACGGGGCUAAACCAUGCACCGAAGCUGCGGCAGCGACGCUGAUGCGUUGUUGGGUAGGGGAGCGUUCUGUAAGCCUGCGAAGGUGGCCUGUGAGGGUUGCUGGAGGUAUCAGAAGUGCGAAUGCUGACAUAAGUAACGAUAAAGCGGGUGAAAAGCCCGCUCGCCGGAAGACCAAGGGUUCCUGUCCAACGUUAAUCGGGGCAGGGUGAGUCGACCCCUAAGGCGAGGCCGAAAGGCGUAGUCGAUGGGAAACGGGUUAAUAUUCCCGUACUUGGUGUUACUGCGAAGGGGGGACGGAGAAGGCUAUGUUGGCCGGGCGACGGUUGUCCCGGUUUAAGCGUGUAGGUGUGUGUUCCAGGUAAAUCCGGUUCACUUUAACACUGAGGCGUGAUGACGAGGCACUACGGUGCUGAAGCAACAAAUGCCCUGCUUCCAGGAAAAGCCUCUAAGCAUCAGGUAACAUCAAAUCGUACCCCAAACCGACACAGGUGGUCAGGUAGAGAAUACCAAGGCGCUUGAGAGAACUCGGGUGAAGGAACUAGGCAAAAUGGUGCCGUAACUUCGGGAGAAGGCACGCUGACACGUAGGUGAAGUGAUUUACUCAUGGAGCUGAAGUCAGUCGAAGAUACCAGCUGGCUGCAACUGUUUAUUAAAAACACAGCACUGUGCAAACACGAAAGUGGACGUAUACGGUGUGACGCCUGCCCGGUGCCGGAAGGUUAAUUGAUGGGGUCAGCGCAAGCGAAGCUCCUGAUCGAAGCCCCGGUAAACGGCGGCCGUAACUAUAACGGUCCUAAGGUAGCGAAAUUCCUUGUCGGGUAAGUUCCGACCUGCACGAAUGGCGUAAUGAUGGCCAGGCUGUCUCCACCCGAGACUCAGUGAAAUUGAACUCGCUGUGAAGAUGCAGUGUACCCGCGGCAAGACGGAAAGACCCCGUGAACCUUUACUAUAGCUUGACACUGAACAUUGAGCCUUGAUGUGUAGGAUAGGUGGGAGGCUUUGAAGUGUGGACGCCAGUCUGCAUGGAGCCGACCUUGAAAUACCACCCUUUAAUGUUUGAUGUUCUAACGUGGACCCGUUACCCGGGUUGCGGACAGUGUCUGGUGGGUAGUUUGACUGGGGCGGUCUCCUCCUAAAGAGUAACGGAGGAGCACGAAGGUUGGCUAAUCCUGGUCGGACAUCAGGAGGUUAGUGCAAUGGCAUAAGCCAGCUUGACUGCGAGCGUGACGGCGCGAGCAGGUGCGAAAGCAGGUCAUAGUGAUCCGGUGGUUCUGAAUGGAAGGGCCAUCGCUCAACGGAUAAAAGGUACUCCGGGGAUAACAGGCUGAGACCGCCCAAGAGUUCAUAUCGACGGCGGUGUUUGGCACCUCGAUGUCGGCUCAUCACAUCCUGGGGCUGAAGUAGGUCCCAAGGGUAUGGCUGUUCGCCAUUUAAAGUGGUACGCGAGCUGGGUUUAGAACGUCGUGAGACAGUUCGGUCCCUAUCUGCCGUGGGCGCUGGAGAACUGAGGGGGGCUGCUCCUAGUACGAGAGGACCGGAGUGGACGCAUCACUGGUGUUCGGGUUGUCAUGCCAAUGGCACUGCCCGGUAGCUAAAUGCGGAAGAGAUAAGUGCUGAAAGCAUCUAAGCACGAAACUUGCCCCGAGAUGAGUUCUCCCUGAGACUUUAAGUCUCCUGAAGGAACGUUGAAGACGACGACGUUGAUAGGCCGGGUGUGUAAGCGCAGCGAUGCGUUGAGCUAACCGGUACUAAUGAACCGUGAGGCUUAACCUUACAACGCCGAAG
This 2929-nucleotide ribosomal RNA is filed under the name Salmonella enterica subsp. enterica. RNAcentral describes it as "23S ribosomal RNA". It matches the Rfam family "Bacterial large subunit ribosomal RNA". The record is from RNAcentral. Lineage: Bacteria; Pseudomonadati; Pseudomonadota; Gammaproteobacteria; Enterobacterales; Enterobacteriaceae.